GACGUAGGGCGCGAGCGUUGUCCGGAAUUAUUGGGCGUAAAGGGCUCGUAGGCGGUUUGUCGCGUCGGGAGUGAAAACCUCGGGCUUAACUCGGGGCUUGCUUUCGAUACGGGCAGACUGGAGGUAUGCAGGGGAGAACGGAAUUCCUGGUGUAGCGGUGAAAUGCGCAGAUAUCAGGAGGAACACCAAUUGCGAAGGCAGCUCGCUGGGACGUAACUGACGCUGAGACGCGAAAGCGUGGGGAGCAAACAGG
This 253-nucleotide ribosomal RNA is filed under the name uncultured bacterium. Its description in RNAcentral is "partial 16S ribosomal RNA". It matches the Rfam family "Bacterial small subunit ribosomal RNA", at positions 524 to 776 of the family's 1533-position model. The record is from RNAcentral.